CCUACGGGGCGCAGCAGUGGGGAAUAUUGGACAAUGGGCGAAAGCCUGAUCCAGCCAUGCCGCGUGUGUGAAGAAGGCCUUCGGGUUGUAAAGCACUUUCAGUGGGGAAGAAAGCCUUGGGGCUAAUACCCUCGAGGAAGGACAUCACCCACAGAAGAAGCACCGGCUAACUCCGUGCCAGCAGCCGCGGUAAUACGGAGGGUGCGAGCGUUAAUCGGAAUUACUGGGCGUAAAGCGCGCGUAGGCGGUCUGAUAAGCCGGUUGUGAAAGCCCUGGGCUCAACCUGGGAACGGCAUCCGGAACUGUCAGGCUAGAGUGCAGGAGAGGAAGGUAGAAUUCCCGGUGUAGCGGUGAAAUGCGUAGAGAUCGGGAGGAAUACCAGUGGCGAAGGCGGCCUUCUGGACUGACACUGACGCUGAGGUGCGAAAGCGUGGGUAGCAAACAGGAUUAGAUACCCGGGUAGUC
RNAcentral lists this ribosomal RNA (465 nucleotides) under Vreelandella stevensii. Its description in RNAcentral is "partial 16S ribosomal RNA". It matches the Rfam family "Bacterial small subunit ribosomal RNA", at positions 338 to 795 of the family's 1533-position model. The record is from RNAcentral. Lineage: Bacteria; Pseudomonadati; Pseudomonadota; Gammaproteobacteria; Oceanospirillales; Halomonadaceae.